This 215-nucleotide long non-coding RNA is filed under the name Manihot esculenta (cassava). RNAcentral describes it as "long non-coding RNA (MESC_LNC004781)". The record is from RNAcentral. Lineage: Eukaryota; Viridiplantae; Streptophyta; Magnoliopsida; Malpighiales; Euphorbiaceae.
GCAGCUUUUAAUCAAAAUUUCAGAAUUCUUCUCAUGCCUUUGGCGUGUAUUGCUUUGAGUGAGAGUGAGGAUUUGCUUUCAUCAAUUGCACCAGGAAUCUUGGCUUACUUAUCAACUAUUCGUUGUGGCGUUUGUUAGAUUCUCAUCUAAAUCCUUCGAUCAUUGGUGUUUCAGCUUCUCUAAAUGUGGGGUGCCAUAGGAGGUGGGUUUAUCAA